UCGUGAUUAUAAUAUUACAAGCAAAUAAAUUAAACAUUGAUGUUAUGAAUAUUCUUGAUGUCAAUGAACAGGCAAAAUAAAACUUAGAAUGAUAUAGUUUUAACUUUACAUCGAUUCAUGGCCAAUCCUAACAAAUUGUUCUGUAUUAAUUAAAUUUACGACGAAAUUUUAUCGAAAUAUUAUAGGAGAUUGAGCUUACAAACAAUAUGAAAUGUAUGUUUCUCAUUGCUCUGAAUUAAUAAGGAGGCAACAACUAUCAAUGCACAACUCAAUGUUGUAGCAAAAGUAACCGAAACUAACUCCCAAGAAUGAAGAUGAUGUGGAAAAUGAAACAAAGGUUGCAAGAAGAAAAAAAAAAUUGAGAAAAGAAGUACAAGGCCUUUGGCAAUGAAGAUGAAGAUAUGAUGAGUACACUGGACAAGAAAAAAUGGAAGACUACAAUAAAACAAUAACAAACAAAGAAAUAUUUUGAGCGAAGACCAAUCAGCUGCAUGAUCUUGUGAAAACGGAGCGAGUAUUCAAGAUGCUAUUUGCUGCGAAAACUCGAACCUGCGAUGUGGGUUUUCUCAACGAAUGCAUAGUAUAUGUAUGUAUAAAUUAUAUUCCUU
RNAcentral lists this long non-coding RNA (608 nucleotides) under Erythranthe guttata (spotted monkey flower). RNAcentral describes it as "long non-coding RNA (EGUT_LNC001004)". The record is from RNAcentral. Lineage: Eukaryota; Viridiplantae; Streptophyta; Magnoliopsida; Lamiales; Phrymaceae.